GUCAGCGUGGCCGAGUGGUCUAAGGCGUGUGACUUGAAUUAUCCAACUCGUUGCGAAUUCUUCUUGUGAGGACGGACCAGCGUUUUGCAAAACUUCAAUGGCCAUCACAUCUCUUCGGAGGCACAGGUUCGAACCCUGUCGCUGACG
This 147-nucleotide transfer RNA is filed under the name Fonsecaea erecta. It matches the Rfam family "tRNA". From Rfam's summary of the family: Transfer RNA (tRNA) molecules are approximately 80 nucleotides in length. Their secondary structure includes four short double-helical elements and three loops (D, anti-codon, and T loops). Lineage: Eukaryota; Fungi; Ascomycota; Eurotiomycetes; Chaetothyriales; Herpotrichiellaceae. The record is from Rfam by way of RNAcentral.